This 255-nucleotide small nuclear RNA is filed under the name Castor canadensis (American beaver). RNAcentral describes it as "7SK RNA (ENSCCNG00000028433.1)". It matches the Rfam family "7SK RNA". From Rfam's summary of the family: 7SK was discovered as an abundant small nuclear RNA in the mid-70s but a possible function has only recently been suggested. Two independent studies have found that 7SK RNA binds the CDK9/cyclin T complex (known as elongation factor P-TEFb). The record is from Rfam by way of RNAcentral. Lineage: Eukaryota; Metazoa; Chordata; Mammalia; Rodentia; Castoridae.
GAGUGUGAUAGUGAUAUGGUGGUGACAACUGUCACCCCAUGGAUCUCCAGAGUUCAUUUGACUGAUCUGGCUGAUGAGUGUGGUCUUCCCCCACCACUCCAUGUGCCUUACUCUGGAAGCUGAACAAAGUUGAAGGGAUGACCUUUCCUGAUAGAGGAGGACCAUACUUGGUCCAGGGUAUUGAAUAGCUGCAUUCCCCUAAACAAGUUUUUUUUUUUUUGGUUGAGCCUGGGGCUUGAACUCAGGCCUCAUGGU